Molecule: RNA transcript, 1806 nt
Organism: Portunus trituberculatus (swimming crab)
Lineage: Eukaryota; Metazoa; Arthropoda; Malacostraca; Decapoda; Portunidae
Exons: 5
Source: RefSeq, a predicted model, not a curated record
UGGUGCACUGUUAAGUUCACGAUCGUUGGCCUUGUUUUCCAUUUCUCUGUUCCAUUAUGGUAUUUAUCUACGUACAUUACGAAAUCGAAAGGAAAUGCAGUCUGCAGUAUAGCAACUGCCAGAUCUUGAAGCACUCCAAACAGCUCCGGGACCAUUCCAAAGCAAGGAAACUGGUGAAAAGUUUGUUCAGACUCAUGAGGGAACCCUGCACGCCAUGUCACGCUACAACCUCCUCGAUCUUCUGCGACUCCAGUCUCUGAUCUUUCCUCUGAUUCUUCUGCUGCAUCUACUACUACAUUUUUUGGUAGCUGUGAUUUACAGGUUGGCCCUGUGGAAUACUGAUUCACCAUCUGGAUACACCACACCACCACUAGUCUCCACUGCCUUAGACCACUCGCUACCAGUAACCACUUCUGUGUAGUGGUUCAGACCACUAUGCUUGCCCCUUCCAAUCUGGGGGACCUGUGGGAAAGCAGAGUAGCUCUUCAAGAUUGUAGAAGAUCUCCGUUCCUUGUACGUACUUGUUUGGGGCAUCACAAUGUACCCGAGCACUCCACAAAUUUAUGACCACAGAGUGAGCUGAAUAACCAGCCUUCUGAUCCCGAGUCAUCACAAUAAUACAGCAAUGAGCAGUUGAUGGUGAGGACUGCCUUGGUUGAAAAGACAGAGGGGAAGGAACCAGUAUUAACAGUCGCGAGAGACAAUGCAGACAUGAUGAAGCCCUGCCCCAGAGUCCUGACGCAAAGAGGUGUGUGUAGUCACACCAUCCAGGGAUAAGAGGUGCCUCCUAAGGUUUCACGCCCUCCAAAGGAUCAAGAAGUCCAGCUCCACCUCAGUGGUGACCAGUGACCAAGCCCAUUCCUGGAACUGGUUGGUGGAGGGGGACAAGGGAGAAGUGGGCCACAGCAGCAAACCUGGCCCCUCCCAGGGGACCUUGGGUGAAGGUCCAGCCGGAGGUGACGAGCAGCGCCUUGCCUUAUACCCCAGCCCACAGGAUGGCAUUCUUACACACCCCCUCAUGGAAUGACAUCUCUGUCCAUUCAGCCAAGAGGGGCCCAGUGUCACAUGACUCCCCUAUGGCCCAGCAAACCCACUGCCACCUGCCUGAGAGUAGACAGGCUCGCUCUCACUCUAAACAUCACACCUCCACUCCAACGGUGUUUCCCAUGGCCCACCUGACGCACUCUGACAGCUGUCUCCUUGGAGGUGGUUUUCUCUCAGAUAGGGACGAUCACUGGGUCCUAUUUGAUUCACCCUGCCCUUCUUGUUCAGGGUGGUGGUGCUCAGGAGCCUUCUUGUCACCAGGUCCUGAUUCUGCACUUCUCAGCUCAGAAACACAGGACUGGCCACCACAGGUACUGGAGGGCGGUGAGGGGUAUAAGUCCCCACCCUACUCCACUUCCAUGUACCAUUGUAUGAUGUCCUACAUCACUUCUGUGUAUGAGGAUGCAAUGGGCUGGAGGAUCGACUUGGAACAUCCUGCUGCACCAGGUUCCAAUGCCUCACCUGCAUGAAGGGGUACCUCUAGUAAAGGGAGGAGGUCAUCUCUGUACUUCUUUGUUUGGAGAGACGGAGGGAGAUAGUGCCUGUGCAGAUGUUGAGGUAUAGGUCUGGUUGGGCGAAGAAUGGGUUGCUCUUCACGUAAAUUAGUGUGGUGAUGGCAUUGGACUGAGCUUCAGUGUCCUCACAAACUAGGCAGGACCUAUCAGGUUGGGUCCAGAAGGUGAUUUUGUUCACCUGUGUUUGUAGGCAGUGUUGAAAGGAGAGUAUGUUGUUAAGAUAUUGUGCUGUAGGUGGUAUAAUGAA